GUGGAUGGCUGGAUGAUCGCGGGGGCCGCAAGGCCUACGAGGAAAGUCCGGACUCCGGAAAGCACGGUGCCGGGUAACGCCCGGCCGGGGAAACCCGAGGGAAAGCGCCACAGAGAACGAGACCGCCCGUCGGACCGGAAGUUCGCCAACGGACAAAUCCGCCGGGCAAGGGUGAAACGGUGGAGUAAGAGCCCACCGCGGGACGGGCAACCGGACCGGCACGGCAAGCCCCACCGGGAGCAAUGCCAAAUAGGGGCCCCGCGUCCGCAAGGGCAGGGAUGCUUCAACCCAGGGGCCCGGGUUGGCAGCUUGAGGCCCGUCAGUAACGGCGGGUCCAGAGGAAUGGUCAUCCAGGGGGCUUCGGUCCCCGGACAGAAUCCGGCUUACAGGCCGUCCACGCAC
Molecule: RNase P RNA, 402 nt
Filed under: Rubellimicrobium rubrum
Lineage: Bacteria; Pseudomonadati; Pseudomonadota; Alphaproteobacteria; Rhodobacterales; Roseobacteraceae
Description: Bacterial RNase P class A
Rfam family: Bacterial RNase P class A
About the family: Ribonuclease P (RNase P) is a ubiquitous endoribonuclease, found in archaea, bacteria and eukarya as well as chloroplasts and mitochondria. Its best characterised activity is the generation of mature 5'-ends of tRNAs by cleaving the 5'-leader elements of precursor-tRNAs. Cellular RNase Ps are ribonucleoproteins.
Source: Rfam by way of RNAcentral